Molecule: transfer RNA, 69 nt
Filed under: Pteroctopus tetracirrhus
Lineage: Eukaryota; Metazoa; Mollusca; Cephalopoda; Octopoda; Octopodidae
Description: tRNA-Val
Source: RNAcentral
CAAAAAUUAACAUAAGAUGAAUGUGUCUCACUUACGUUGAGAAGAUGAUUUAUUAUAAAUUGUUUUUGA